This 422-nucleotide ribosomal RNA is filed under the name uncultured bacterium. RNAcentral's name for it is "bacterial SSU rRNA". It matches the Rfam family "Bacterial small subunit ribosomal RNA", at positions 355 to 774 of the family's 1533-position model. The record is from RNAcentral.
UGAGGAAUAUUGGUCAAUGGGGGCAACCCUGAACCAGCCAAGUCGCGUGAAGGAUGAAGGUCUUAUGGAUUGUAAACUUCUUUUACACGGGAAUAAAGCGGGGGACGUGUCCCUCUUCGCAUGUACCGUGUGAAUAAGGAUCGGCUAACUCCGUGCCAGCAGCCGCGGUAAUACGGAGGAUCCGAGCGUUAUCCGGAUUUAUUGGGUUUAAAGGGUGCGCAGGCGGGAUGUUAAGUCGGCGGUGAAAUUUUGCAGCUCAACUGUAAAAGUGCCUUCGAUACUGGCCUUCUUGAGUGUGGAUGAAGUAGGCGGAAUUUGUGGUGUAGCGGUGAAAUGCUUAGAUAUCACGAGGAACUCCUAUUGCGCAGGCAGCUUACUAAGCCACAACUGACGCUCAUGCACGAAGGCGUGGGGAUCAAACA